This 77-nucleotide microRNA precursor is filed under the name Poecilia formosa (Amazon molly). RNAcentral's name for it is "Danio rerio miR-375-2 stem-loop (ENSPFOG00000021351.1)". The stretch from base 9 to 73 matches the Rfam family "mir-375 microRNA precursor family". Lineage: Eukaryota; Metazoa; Chordata; Actinopteri; Cyprinodontiformes; Poeciliidae. The record is from RNAcentral.
UGUAUUUGCUUCACGUUGAGCCUCACGUACAAUACCUGAAGAUGAAGUUUUGUUCGUUCGGCUCGCGUUACGCAGGU